UGCGAACUCCUACGGGAGGCAGCAGUGAGGAAUAUUGGUCAAUGGACGAGAGUCUGAACCAGCCAAGUAGCGUGCAGGACGACGGCCCUAUGGGUUGUAAACUGCUUUUAUAGGGGAAUAAAGUGAGCUACGUGUAGUUUAUUGCAUGUACCCUAUGAAUAAGGACCGGCUAAUUCCGUGCCAGCAGCCGCGGUAAUACGGAAGGUUCGGGCGUUAUCCGGAUUUAUUGGGUUUAAAGGGAGCGUAGGCCGUGGAUUAAGCGUGUUGUGAAAUGUAGAUGCUCAACAUCUGACUUGCAGCGCGAACUGGUUUACUAGAGUGUGCGCAACGUAGGCGGAAUUCGUCGUGUAGCGGUGAAAUGCUUAGAUAUGACGAAGAACUCCGAUUGCGAAGGCAGCUUACGGGAGCACAACUGACGCUGAAGCUCGAAGGUGCGGGUAUCAAACAGGAUUAGAUACCCUUGUAGUCCU
Molecule: ribosomal RNA, 470 nt
Filed under: uncultured bacterium
Lineage: Bacteria
Description: bacterial SSU rRNA
Rfam family: Bacterial small subunit ribosomal RNA
Source: RNAcentral